Molecule: long non-coding RNA, 1058 nt
Filed under: Mytilus galloprovincialis (Mediterranean mussel)
Lineage: Eukaryota; Metazoa; Mollusca; Bivalvia; Mytilida; Mytilidae
Source: RNAcentral
AAAGAACAAAUAAAAUGAAUUACUUUUAUUUGUUAACUUUUGCAUUAUUUCUGGAAUGUAGUGUAUGUGCUUUAAACCAUGAAAACAAACGUCUCUUGUUAAAUGACCCAGAUGCUAUUGUUCGUUUGACCAACUUAGAACAGCAAAACCAGCUGCUAACACAAAAGGUCUUGGAUCUGGAAUCUAAAAUGGCGACAAGGCAGGGUAAGUCUGUAUAAAGGUUUAAACAUUAUUUUUGCAAAAACACACAUUUCAUAAUACUAUUACUAACUACAAAAAGAGGACGAAGACAAAUUAACGUACAGUUUAAAAUAAAUAUACUAUCCCACUAUCAAAACAUUAAUUUAUCCUGAUUUGUUAAAGUUACAAUAGCUAUUGGUACAUGCACGCUUGAAGCCGUAUUUGGCACAACUUAUUGGAAUUUGCUGUCCUCACUGCUGUUCAUCUUUAUACUUGGUUGGCUUUUUAACUAUCUCAUUCUGAGCAUCACUGAUGAGUCUUAUGUAGACAAAAAGCGCGUAUCAAAUUAUAACCCUGAUACUUUUUAUGACUGACAAACCGAGUUUAGUUUUGAACGUGUCAUUGCAAGGUCAAAUUACGGAAUAGGACGUGCUAUAUACCAAUACGUGUAUAUCCGAUAUUUUUACUACAAUUUUCCAAUCUUUCUUGCUCCUUUUACAAUGUUUUGUAGAUUUGUGCUAGUAAAUUUUUAAGUGGAGUUCAUGAAAAACUGUCUAUUUGGUAACGACAACAAACACAUAGCAAACUCAUAUGUUAUUCCUUUAUUUAAAUAAUUGUAAUAUUUUCUAGAAGUUAACAAUUUAGCAUGGUAGAGUUUUGGAAAAUCUUUCGGAAAGGAACAUAGGCAGUAAAAUUACUUAUUUCUCAACAUGAACAAUUAAAUUAAAAAUGUACUUAUUUUUCGACGUGUUUGUUUUUCGUUUUACGUAUACAUUUAGACAUUUCUUUCCAUUGUUAUUUACAGAACACGGAUCCACAUAUGUUCGAUGGGGAAGAACUCAAUGUGAAGGCACAAAUACUGAACUUGUUUAUUCAGG